GUACUCAUUUAGACAGUGCAUAUAUUAAAGUUGGAAUGAUAUAGAAAAGAUUAGCAUGGCACUUUCAUAAAUAUGACAUGAAAAUUCAUGAAGAUUUCCAUGUAUUU
Sarcophilus harrisii (Tasmanian devil) is the source of this 107-nucleotide small nuclear RNA. The record is from Ensembl. NCBI's taxonomy places the organism in Eukaryota, Metazoa, Chordata, Mammalia, Dasyuromorphia, Dasyuridae.